Molecule: ribosomal RNA, 253 nt
Filed under: uncultured bacterium
Lineage: Bacteria
Also listed under: 1 other name
Description: partial 16S ribosomal RNA
Rfam family: Bacterial small subunit ribosomal RNA
Source: RNAcentral
UACGGGGGGGGCAAGCGUUGUUCGGAAUUACUGGGCGUAAAGGGCGCGUAGGCGGUUCGCUAAGUUGAAUGUGAAAACUCUGGGCUUAACCCAGAGCCUGCAUCCAAAACUGGCGAACUGGAGUACUGGAGGGGAAAGCGGAAUUCCUGGUGUAGCGGUGAAAUGCGUAGAUAUCAGGAGGAACACCGGUGGCGAAGGCGGCUUUCUGGACAGUAACUGACGCUGAGGCGCGAAAGCUAGGGGAGCAAACAGG